RNAcentral lists this ribosomal RNA (528 nucleotides) under uncultured bacterium. RNAcentral's name for it is "bacterial SSU rRNA". It matches the Rfam family "Bacterial small subunit ribosomal RNA", at positions 984 to 1509 of the family's 1533-position model. The record is from RNAcentral.
ACAUCCAGAGAAUUUAGCAGAGAUGCUUUAGUGCCUUCGGGAACUCUGAGACAGGUGCUGCAUGGCUGUCGUCAGCUCGUGUUGUGAAAUUGUUGGGUUAAGUCCCGNAACGAGCGCAACCCUUAUCCUUUGUUGCCAGCACGUAAUGGUGGGAAACUCAAAGGAGACUGCCGGUGAUAAACCGGAGGAAGGUGGGGAUGACGUCAAGUCAUCAUGGCCCUUACGAGUAGGGCUACACACGUGCUACAAUGGCGCAUACAAAGAGAAGCGACCUCGCGAGAGCAAGCGGACCUCAUAAAGUGCGUCGUAGUCCGGAUUGGAGUCUGCAACUCGACUCCAUGAAGUCGGAAUCGCUAGUAAUCGUAAAUCAGAAUGUUACGGUGAAUACGUUCCCGGGCCUUGUACACACCGCCCGUCACACCAUGGGAGUGGGUUGCAAAAGAAGUAGAUAGCUUAACCUUCGGGAGGGCGUUUACCACUUUGUGAUUCAUGACUGGGGUGAAGUCGUAACAAGGUAGGCGUAGUGCU